RNAcentral lists this ribosomal RNA (497 nucleotides) under uncultured bacterium. RNAcentral's name for it is "partial 16S ribosomal RNA". It matches the Rfam family "Bacterial small subunit ribosomal RNA", at positions 28 to 507 of the family's 1533-position model. The record is from RNAcentral.
GAUGAACGCUGGCGGCGUGCCUAAUACAUGCAAGUCGAGCGAACGGACGAGAAGCUUGCUUCUCUGAUGUUAGCGGCGGACGGGUGAGUAACACGUGGAUAACCUACCUAUAAGACUGGGAUAACUUCGGGAAACCGGAGCUAAUACCGGAUGAUAUUUUGAACCGCAUGGUUCAAAAGUGAAAGACGGUCUUGCUGUCACUUAUAGAUGGAUCCGCGCUGCAUUAGCUAGUUGGUAAGGUAACGGCUUACCAAGGCAACGAUGCAUAGCCGACCUGAGAGGGUGAUCAGCCACACUGGAACUGAGACACGGUCCAGACUCCUACGGGAGGCAGCAGUAGGGAAUAUUCGGCAAUGGGCGAAAGCCUGACGGAGCAACGCCGCGUGAGUGAUGAAGGUCUUCGGAUCGUAAAACUCUGUUAUUAGGGAAGAACAGAAGUAUAAGUAACUGUGCACAUCUUGACGGUACCUAAACAGAAAGCAACGGCUAACUACGUG